CAGGAUCAUCAGCAGCAGCUUCAUCAGCAGCUUCAGGAUCAGCAGCAGCAGCGGCGCCUAACUUUAAGUCUGUUGCAUCUCGAUGGGUUAAUAGAUCUGGUCAGAACUGUGUCUGUUACAAUUGAUUCAACAUCUAAUUGUUGGCUUAUGAAAAAGCUUAUAAUAUGUAAUAUGUAUGCAUAUUUGCAGCAAUUAAUAAAUUUUCGUUAUUGAAAUCAUUGCA
This is a non-coding RNA of Tetranychus urticae (two-spotted spider mite), 223 nucleotides long. The record is from RefSeq and is a predicted model, not a curated record. Lineage: Eukaryota; Metazoa; Arthropoda; Arachnida; Trombidiformes; Tetranychidae.